CUGAGUGAGGGCGCAAGCCCGACCUCCAACCCUUUGUGAACCAACCCAGUUGCUUCGGGGGCGACCCCGCCGUUUCGGCGACGGCGCCCCCGGAGGUCACCCAAACACUGCAUCUUUGCGUCGGAGUCUUAAAGUAAAUUUAAACA
RNAcentral lists this unclassified non-coding RNA (146 nucleotides) under uncultured Ascomycota. RNAcentral describes it as "sequence contains ITS1". The record is from RNAcentral. Lineage: Eukaryota; Fungi; Ascomycota.